CCCUCAAAACAUCCACCCACCUCCAUCUCAUAGUGUAUACUUAAAUUAUAUAUAAAUUCUCUCGGAUCAGUAUUUCUAUUUCCUUACCGAACACCAGAAUAUAGUAAGAAAACAACUAUUUCUCGUAAAAAUAUAUUCCUUUAUUGCAGCCACAUCCCUAAUGUAAAAAUUUAUGACGCUCUCAACAUACAUAACUUAAAAAUCUUUUUUCUUUCCUUCCUUCCUAUCUGCUUCCUUUACAAACCACAUUGAUUAGGUGUUUUGUAUGAUCUCUAGUGGGCUCUUGGUGGGGAGGGAUUUUUUUCUCAGAUUAUUACAUGGCAAAAUUGAUCAAAAACUCAAAAAUCUCCACAUUUAAAUCUCAAUCUUUCCUUUUCUUAUGUACCCUUUUCUUCAUUUUCCUCAUCCUUGUUCAUACAUAUCCUCCUCCUUCUAAUGUAACAAUGAAAUUUCACUCAAGAAAGAUCCCGAUAAAUAAUCCUCAGGACUCAUCAUUUACUCAUAGAGAAUUUGAAGUUGGUGAUCAUGAAGUUCCAAGAGGACCAAAUCCUAUAUCAAAUCGUUAAACCCGUUGGAACUAUAUUUGGUUCGUGUUAGACAAGCUACAUACAUGGAAAGAGAAGAAGAUUAGAAGAAAGAAGCUCGAAAAGAAAUAGUUUGGCUUUCAGUCUCAAACCGGUUUAGUGUAAGCGUGUUCGUUAUCAAGUCAAUUCGCAAAACGACACCUUAUCCCCUAUUUUACUGCUGUUAUUGGCAUAGAGUUAGCCAAGACUUCUUCCUCGAGUUAUAUAUGUUGAUGAAGAUUUUGUAAAGGUAAUCACUGAAUGUUUAUAUUUAGUGAUCAUUAAUACAACUAGUUGUUUUCUUCAAAGGA
This is a long non-coding RNA of Lycium ferocissimum, 874 nucleotides long. RefSeq lists it as uncharacterized. The transcript has 2 exons. NCBI's taxonomy places the organism in Eukaryota, Viridiplantae, Streptophyta, Magnoliopsida, Solanales, Solanaceae. The record is from RefSeq and is a predicted model, not a curated record.